AUUGAACGCUGGCGGCAGGCUUAACACAUGCAAGUCGAGCGGGGUGAUGGUGCUUGCACUAUCACUUAGCGGCAGACGGGUGAGUAAUGCUUAGGAAUCUGCCUAUUAGUGGGGGACAACAUCUCGAAAGGGAUGCUAAUACCGCAUACGUCCUACGGGAGAAAGCAGGGGAUCACUUGUGCCCUUGCGCUAAUAGAUGAGCCUAAGUCGGGUUAGCGAGUUGGUGGGGUAAAGGCCUGCCAAGGCGACGAUCUGGAGCGGGUCUGAGAGGAUGAUCCGCCACACUGGGACUGAGACACGGCCCAGACUGCUACGGGAGGCAGCAGUGGGGAAUAUUGGACAAUGGGGGGAACCCUGAUCCAGCCAUGCCGCGUGUGUGAAGAAGGCCUUAUGGUUGUAAAGCACUUUAAGCGAGGAGGAGGCUCUUUUGGUUAAUACCCAAGAUGAGUGGACGUUACUCGCAGAAUAAGCACCGGCUAACUCUGUGCCAGCCGCCGCCGUAA
This 503-nucleotide ribosomal RNA is filed under the name uncultured bacterium. RNAcentral's name for it is "partial 16S ribosomal RNA". It matches the Rfam family "Bacterial small subunit ribosomal RNA", at positions 30 to 523 of the family's 1533-position model. The record is from RNAcentral.